RNAcentral lists this long non-coding RNA (166 nucleotides) under Chrysolophus pictus (golden pheasant). Its description in RNAcentral is "lncRNA (ENSCPIG00010005667.1)". Lineage: Eukaryota; Metazoa; Chordata; Aves; Galliformes; Phasianidae. The record is from RNAcentral.
GGGAUCUGCGAGGCUGAACAAAGAGACGCGGGGGUGCCGCGAGUAUUGUGGAAACCUGAGCUGAAGUAUCGUGAGACUUACAGCGUGAUAACGACACCAAAAGAACAGAGAGUUUUCCUUGUUUAACAACCACACAGAGCACCCUAUCAUCUGCUUGAACAGGACA